Molecule: non-coding RNA, 85 nt
Filed under: Pseudomonas lini
Lineage: Bacteria; Pseudomonadati; Pseudomonadota; Gammaproteobacteria; Pseudomonadales; Pseudomonadaceae
Source: RNAcentral
UUUUAUGGCGGCUGUGCGUGGGAGACCUUUUGGUCUGCCGGGUCUUCCUCCUCGGUCUGCGAACCCGCGCACAGCUACCACCCCA